This 332-nucleotide ribosomal RNA is filed under the name uncultured bacterium. RNAcentral's name for it is "bacterial SSU rRNA". It matches the Rfam family "Bacterial small subunit ribosomal RNA", at positions 568 to 898 of the family's 1533-position model. The record is from RNAcentral.
CGCGUAGGUGGUUCGAUUAGUCGGAGGUGAAAUCCCUCGGCUCAACCGAGGAUCCGCGUCCGAUACUGUCGAACUUGAGUGCAGGAGAGGAGAGCGGAAUUCCCAGUGUAGCGGUGAAAUGCGUAGAUAUUGGGAGGAACACCGGUGGCGAAGGCGGCUCUCUGGACUGCCACUGACACUGAGGCGCGAAAGCUAGGGGAGCAAACGGGAUUAGAUACCCCGGUAGUCCUAGCCGUAAACGAUGGGCACUAGGUGUGGGAGGUAUCGACCCCUUCCGUGCCGCAGCUAACGCAUUAAGUGCCCCGCCUGGGGAGUACGGCCGCAAGGUUGAA